GACGAACCGAGCGAACGUUAUUCGGAAUCACUGGGCUUAAAGGGCGCGUAGGCGGGCUCGCGAGUCAGGGGUGAAAGCCCCCAGCCCAACUGGGGAAGUGCCUUUGAUACUGCGAGCCUCGAGGGAGGUAGGGGCGUGCGGAACUUCCGGUGGAGCGGUGAAAUGCGUAGAUAUCGGAAGGAACACCGGUGGCGAAAGCGGCGCGCUGGACCUCUUCUGACGCUGAGGCGCGAAAGCCAGGGGAGCGAACGGGAUUAGAUACCCCCGUAGUCCUGGCCCUAAACGAUGGGCACUAGGUUGUGGGCUUACAUGGGCUCACAGCCGAAGCAAAAGUGUUAAGUGCCCCGCCUGGGGAGUAUGGUCGCAAGGCUGAA
Molecule: ribosomal RNA, 374 nt
Filed under: uncultured bacterium
Lineage: Bacteria
Description: bacterial SSU rRNA
Rfam family: Bacterial small subunit ribosomal RNA
Source: RNAcentral